RNAcentral lists this ribosomal RNA (2595 nucleotides) under Triticum aestivum (bread wheat). RNAcentral's name for it is "partial small subunit ribosomal RNA". The record is from RNAcentral. Lineage: Eukaryota; Viridiplantae; Streptophyta; Magnoliopsida; Poales; Poaceae.
AUGGGGGGAGGCGCUAUGGAGGUGGACCUGACCCACGGCGCGGUGGCGGCGAUGUCGCGGCUGGCGCGAGGCCUGCGCCCGGUGCUGCAGGUGGUGGGCGCCCCCGCCUCGGCGGGCGGCACGGAUCGGUACCGCUUCCUGCUCUCCGACGGCGUGCACUCCCAGGAGGGGAUCCUCGUCCCCUCCCUUGACAGCCUCGUCAGGACCGGCCGCCUCCGCGACGGCACCGUCAUACGCGUCCUCGACUACGUCUGCAACUCCGUCUGCGGCCGAAGGGUCAUCAUUGUUAUCCAACUUGAAGUGGUGCAAACUGAGUGCACACUGAUCGGGAGUCCUUCAAGUUAUCAGGUCAAUGCUGCUCAACCAAAUAUCAGAUCUGGUAGUCUAGGCAUCCAUGGGUCAAGGGCUGAGCAAGGUGUUACUGACAUGGCAUUUUCUCCUGCUCAAGGCCUCUUGCGCUCUUCUAUUGCCGCAAGGGCAGAAAAUGCUGUGAACAAUCUGCCGCUCAGUGGACUUAAUAGUUCAGUGAUAAAGCAAAACACAAUAAAAGCCAAGAUGCAGCAGCUUUCACUGAACUCUCAUCAAGGGAAAAUGCCUGCAGUUCGUCCCAGUGGUCAGGGCUUUGGCCCAUGCCCUGCAGAGCUUUCGUGUCAGCAGCCACCUCCAGUAUAUGUGAAUAGAGGAUCUGUCGCUAACAAUGGCACUCCUUAUGUCACCCCUAUUGCUGCCUUGAACCCAUACCAAGGUAGAUGGACAAUCAAGGGUAGGGUCACUGCAAAAACUGAUAACUUGCACGGGAGAGCCUUAUCCUUUGAUCUCCUUGAUGCACAGGGUGGAGAAAUUCGUGCAACAUGCUUUGGUUCGAUGGUUGCUCAAUUCUCUGACCAACUUGUUGUUGGAAAUGUGUACUUCAUAUCUGGAGGAUUGUUGAAACCAGCACACAAGUUGUUUAACCCUUUAAACAAUGCGUAUGAACUGAUUUUGGAUAGUUCAACAUCUAUAGAAAAUUGUUGCAGUGACGACAGCGGCAUCCCUUGGCAGCAAUACAAUUUCCAACCGAUCAGUGAAAUAGUAAAUAUGGACAAUGGAGCUAUGGUUGACUUGCUUGGGAUUGUUACAUCAGUUAGCCCUUCUGUUAUGAUAACGCGGAAGGAUGGCACAGAAACCCAGAAGAAAACCCUUCAACUGAAGGACAUGUCUGGUUGCAGUGUGGAAAUAACCUUAUGGGGAAAUGUCUGUAAUGCUGAAGGUCAGCUGCUGCACUCGAUGUGCAUUUCUGGUUCUAAUCCUAUACUUGCCUUGAAAGGUGGCCGCAUCUGUGAAUUCAACGGCAAAUCUGUGGCCACAAUCAGCUCAAGCUUGAUAAAAAUAAAUCCAGACUUGCCUGAUGCAGAAAAGCUGAUGCAGUGGUACAUAACUGAAGGGAAAUUAGCGGUUUGCACUUCUUUAUCUCAGGAAAUCUCAAGCAUGGGCAAGAUGUAUUCCCGAAAAACAGUUGCACAGAUCAAGGACGAGAACUUGGGGCGAUCAGAUCAGCCAGAUUGGGUCACUGUUGAAGCUACAAUUUCACACAUCAACACCGAUAAAUUUUCUUAUCCAGCUUGCACAAGGGAGGUUAAUGGUAAGCGCUGCAACAGAAAGGUAACAAAUAAUGGUGAUGGGAUGUGGCAUUGUCCCAAAUGCCAGCAGAGCUCUCAAAAUUGUGAGCAUCGCUACUUGUUUCAGUGUAAGAUCCAGGAUUACACCGGGACUACCAAUGCUACUGCAUUCCAAGAAGCUGGCCAGGAAAUAAUUGGCCUCUCAGCGGAAGAGCUUUUCAUGAUAAAAAAUGUGGAUCUAGAUGACGCACGAUUCGCAGGAAUAAUACAUGGGACCUGUUAUCAGCAAUUUCUGUUGAAGCUGAAAGUCAAGGAAGAAACCUUUGGUGACGAGGCGUGUAUGAAGGUCAGCAUCAUGAAGGCUGAAAGAUUGGGCCACACAUCAAAUACGAGUCGUGUCUUUGAUCUUGGAGCAUUUGAUGGCCUUUUGGCGGAUGGCCGAGGCUCAGCACCUGGUGCGAAUGGUGUUGCUACUGCUGUGAAUGCUGGUUUCACCAACUCAGAUGCCGGACGGCAAGCUAAGGUAUCUGGCGGGAUGCCUAAUGCAGCACCAUCAGCAGCACGAUAUGCCUGCAGUACUUGUGGCUCCACUGGGCACAAGGUGCAGAACUGCCCUGCAGCCAUGGAUAUCCAGCUACCAGCAACAGGUUGGGGCUUCACGCCGAGUUCAUAUGGCUCUUCUGCAUCCAAUGCUCGCCGGUGCUGCAAGUGCGAUCAGCCUGGGCACUGGGCUAGAGACUGCCCAUGGCAGGCCACCUCGUACGGCUCUUCUGCAUCCAAAGCUCACCUGUGCAGCAAAUGCAAUCAGCCUGGGCACUGGUCUAGAGACUGUGCGGUGCAGGCCGCCUUACACGGCUCUUCAGCUGGAAACGGCAACGGCAGCCUUGGUUUCUGCUUCAGAUGUAAUCAGUUUGGGCACUGUCCCAGUGACUGCCCAGCCCCCUACUCUUCUGCAGGUGGUAACGGCGGGCGCGGGUGGUCUGGGCUUCAAAAAUAA